Molecule: long non-coding RNA, 1293 nt
Filed under: Volvox carteri
Lineage: Eukaryota; Viridiplantae; Chlorophyta; Chlorophyceae; Chlamydomonadales; Volvocaceae
Description: long non-coding RNA (VCAR_LNC000586)
Source: RNAcentral
AAGUUGUUUUUAGUUAUUGCUCGGUUACUAUUAAUCAACCUUUACACACAAUACACUGCAUACGUACAUCAGCUAGUUGAAGUAAAGGUGCUAUUGCAAAGCUUCGCAGCACGCCACAGUUGUCAACCACUUCCGUUCGCGACACGCGGACUCCCGCGCUUUAUUAAAGGAAGCUACCCUGGCACCAAGAGGCAAUAUGCCGUUUCAGGUGAGGAACAUUGUGUAUGGCAGGGAGAACGAUGCCGCUUCGGACACCUUAGGGACUGCUCGCGCAUGCUCUGCUAGCGAGCUGCUAUGCUUUGCUCUGACUGCUGUUUGGAACUGCCUUGGUGACCCACGACAGCCUGCCUGGCCUUACAAAAGGCCAUUCUAUCAAGCAUCUCUGACCAAGCACGAGAUUCAGGUACGUAAACGACGCCGGCGGGUCCCGUAGCCAGGCAAGGCGGCCGGACGGACGGGUACAUUGAUAGUACAUCUCCAAUUGCCUAAUUAACACUUAGAUGCUGGGAAGCCCAUCGCAUGUAUUACUUGCGUUUUAAAGGGUGCAGGGCUGACCAGCUGUGUCGCUAUUGCUCCUUGUGUCCUCGGUGCGUAGGCGGAUCUUUCCUACAUACUUUCACAGACGAAACGAGAACCGCGACAGCCAGGAAGAUUUCAGGACCAGGCCCCUGGGUCCCAACGAGAUGGGAAAUAGGCAUGUCCCAAGUGGCAACUGCGCCACGCCAACGUUUGAGUUUCAUGCAUAAUGUACAGAGUCUACGUAAUGGAGGUUACUGGAUUUUCGUUUUCAACUUAGCCAUCCCUGUUCGCUUCAAUAGGGUGUGGUCUUUGCGUCGAAGGCCAGCCCAAACUUGAUUUUUUUGACGAUGAUUGAUUCGCAUUUACUUGACUGGAUCUUCGAUAGUGUGUAACGUUGUUUGCCUGUGGUUCGAGGAACUGCCGUGUGUUUGGGCGUAUGGAAGGCACGCGAACAGGGCGGGCGGGAUCGCUUGCUUUCAAAUCUACUGGCGCUUUAUCGCUCAAUGUUAAGCUUUGUAAUAUUACUUGUGUAAAAUCACACUCCUGCUUUCCUCGAAAACAUAUCGGAAAAAGGCUGACGGAAGGAACAUUCAACCUUGCAUUGUCCAGCCGUACUUUCGUCGUACAGCCAUCACCGCCAGCAACGCACAUAUGCCAAAGUUACGUAAUGCGGUCGCAGCGUUGCAAGCAAGCACCGCAAUCUACGCUCUGCAAACCGAACCACAACUCAUCGUAAAUAAAACGCCCUCCGCCGAGCAGCACGCCGGGUUGCUC